Molecule: small RNA, 29 nt
Filed under: Bombyx mori (domestic silkworm)
Lineage: Eukaryota; Metazoa; Arthropoda; Insecta; Lepidoptera; Bombycidae
Description: ovarian small RNA-24448
Source: RNAcentral
UCAAAGCCGGUGGCGGGCGACGCCGCAGC